This 468-nucleotide ribosomal RNA is filed under the name uncultured bacterium. RNAcentral's name for it is "partial 16S ribosomal RNA". It matches the Rfam family "Bacterial small subunit ribosomal RNA", at positions 28 to 507 of the family's 1533-position model. The record is from RNAcentral.
GACGAACGCUGGCGGCGUGCUUAACACAUGCAAGUCGAACGGAAAGGCCCUGCUUUUGUGGGGUGCUCGAGUGGCGAACGGGUGAGUAACACGUGAGUAACCUGCCCUUGACUUUGGGAUAACUUCAGGAAACUGGGGCUAAUACCGGAUAGGAGCUCCUGCUGCAUGGUGGGGGUUGGAAAGUUUCGGCGGUUGGGGAUGGACGCGCGGCUUAUGAGCUUGCUGGUGGGGUAGUGGCUUACCAAGGCUUUGACGGGUAGCCGGCAUGGGAGGGUGACCGGCCACAUGGGGACUGAGAUACGGCCCAGACUCCUACGGGAGGCAACAGUGGGGAGUAUUGCACAGUGGGCGGAAGCCUGAUGCAGCAGCCUCGCGUUCGUGAUGACGGCCUGCGGGUUGUAAACCGCUUUCGCCUGUGACGAAGCGUGAGUGACGGUAAUGGGUAAAGAAGCACCGGCUAACUACGUG